RNAcentral lists this ribosomal RNA (490 nucleotides) under uncultured bacterium. RNAcentral describes it as "partial 16S ribosomal RNA". It matches the Rfam family "Bacterial small subunit ribosomal RNA", at positions 29 to 507 of the family's 1533-position model. The record is from RNAcentral.
AGUGAACGCUGGCGGUAGGCCUAACACAUGCAAGUCGAACGGCAGCACAGGAGAGCUUGCUCUCUAGGUGGCGAGUGGCGGACGGGUGAGGAAUACAUCGGAAUCUGCCCAGUCGUGGGGGAUAACGUAGGGAAACUUACGCUAAUACCGCAUACGACCUUCGGGUGAAAGAGGGGGAUCGCAAGACCUCUCGCGAUUGGAUGAGCCGAUGUCGGAUUAGCUAGUUAGCGGGGUAAUGGCCCACCAAGGCGACGAUCCGUAGCUGGUCUGAGAGGAUGAUCAGCCACACUGGAACUGAGACACGGUCCAGACUCCUACGGGGGGCAGCAGUGGGGAAUAUUGGGCAAUGGGCGCAAGCCUGAUCCAGCCAUACCGCGUGGGUGAAGAAGGCCUUCGGGUUGUAAAGCCCUUUUGUUGGGAAAGAAAUCUUUCAGGCUAAUACCCUGGGAGGAUGACGGUACCCAAAGAAUAAGCACCGGCUAACUUCGUG